GUGGUUGCUUCGGCAGUACAUGUACUAAAAUUGGAAUAAUACAGAGUAGAUUAGUAGUGUCCCUGUGCAAGGAUGAAUGGCAAGCUCAUGAAGGACUCCCAUUUUUU
This 107-nucleotide small nuclear RNA is filed under the name Mus pahari (shrew mouse). Lineage: Eukaryota; Metazoa; Chordata; Mammalia; Rodentia; Muridae. The record is from RNAcentral.